AGGGCACGAGGCAGGGGACACCUUGGACGGGAUGCCAGUCCAUCACAGGGCACGAGGCAGGGGACACCCUGGAUGGGAUGAUUUGCAGACUGAGGAAACAUUACCUCCCAUUGAUCUCCACCUCAAUAUAUAUGCUAAAACAAUGCAGUGUACUUGGCAUAAAAUUAUUGGUCAAUGUCCCAGAAUGGGACUGUCAUCUGAUUGCUCCCCAUUCUGGUACACCCUGCCCCCCUUUGUCCUACUUCAACCUUCACCCACAUCUCUGGAGACCCCAACCCACCGUGACUUUGAUGCUAGCCCUGAAGUACGUGCCGAUGGUUCAUCUUCAGCCUGGUCUCUUAGAUAAAUGAUCCUUUAUGACCAAUUUGCAUGUGUACAGAAUUGCAUGUAUAAUAAAAAUGAAUAUAUAUUUUUAAGUAGCAAUCUGUCAGCUAGGGCAGCAUUUAUCUAGGUAGCUUGCUUAUCAUCUAUGAAGAGCUAUAAAACAGAGAACUGAAGAGCUAUAUUUCACUAAUAUUGUGUUAAUACCAUUGAAUUACAUAACAUAAUUCAAUUCAAUUCUAUUUUUAUAUAGCGCUUUCACAGUUGGCCCGAAGUGCUUAAGAAGACUAUACUUUGACAAUACUGUUCAAAAAAACUUUUAGUACACAGACACAAAAUGUUUCAUGAUACCGGGAAAGAAAGGAUGAAAGAAUAAUUUAAAAGGCCAGAAGACAGCAGAGGAGAGGAGAGGACGUUGUCCUCGUCAUAAGGACAAUGAAUCUGUACGAUACCAAGUCGCUUAUUCUAGAGGGUUCUAAGGUGCAAAGUUCUUUUGUAGAAGACUAGAGGGAUUAAAAUACUGCUAUUGUGAGCUGGAGUAAACUGCCCUCGUAUCCUGCUGAGAAUCCAUUUUGCGAUUUCCAGAGAAAGAAUCGAUAUCGCAGCAGCGAUGAGGGGGGUGUUGUGUCUCUUUGUCGUGAGAGGGAAAAAAGGGUGAUAGAUAACAGCUGCUUAAUUUGCGGGCCCAGAAAAAAGGUCAUUGUUAAAGCCUGAGCUUUAGCUCCUACAAGCAUGCAUUUAAUGCACGGGAAAUUGUCUGGGCACAAUCUGAACCAGACGAUGGAAGAGAGAGUUAAUCUCCGCUGGGUCACUGUUCAUCUUUGGGGUCAGGAUAAGCGUGUAGAAGGAGGUCAGUGUGCUUUGGGUGAGGGGGUGUAGAGAGAGAGGAUGUGGGGAACGUGGGGGCAUGUUUAUAUUACAUUGUGGGGACCAAAUGUUCCCCGCAAUCUGAUAAAAACCUAUUAUGUUGACAUUGUGGGGACAUUUUUUUGGGUCAUCACAAUGGGAAACUCAAUUUUCUCAAAAUCUGUGAAUGCACUGAAAAAACUAAAAAUGCCAAAAGUCUGGUCUUUUGUUUGGUUACUUGUGGUUAAGGCUCGGGUUGGGGAGGGGUGAAGGUCGUCAUGUUAGGCUUAGGGUUAUGCCCAUAGAGAUGAAUGCCGAGUCCCCACAAAGAUAGGGGUACUGUGUAUAAACUCUGUGUGCCUGUAUCUGUCUGCAUGAGUGUGUCUGGCAGACCCCCUCCAGUCUCGGGUGCCCCCUCCCAUCUGUGUGUGCUCGCUGUCAGGACAGCAGCUCCCAGCCUCUCCCCCUCUCUCUCUGUCUUCCGCGGCUGAGCUGUGUUAUCCUGAAGAACAGCAUGCAUGUAGUCAGGCAUAUUGCGGUCACCACCUUGCAUGAUGCUGGACGUGGAUGUUUACCAGUGAUGUAGCUUGACCCUUGCGAAAGUUAAAAAAUUGCAGCACCAGUGUCUUUCUGGGAUGGUAUAUUGUCCAUCAGUUGCACGCUUCUGAAUUUCAAAGAAUGGAGUAUGUCAUCCGGGUACUGUUUGCCCACUGUGUCAUCCAUACUGAGGAUUUGGACAUAUUGUUUACUUCACAUGCUGCAUUUCACCUGCUCCAUAGCAAAGAAGUAUGCGAUUUCAGUGUGGAGUGACAGACAAUGAUCUAGGAGUGUCUGUGGAGAGGAAGCGGAGUCUGUGAUUUUGUGUGGAGUGACAGGGAGUGAGGUAGGAGUGUCUGGGGAGAGGAAGUGGAGCAUGUGAUUUUGUGUGGAGUGACAGGGAGUGAGGUAGGAGUGUCUGGGGAGAGGAAGUGGAGCAUGUGAUUUUGUGUGGAGUGACAGGGAGUGAGGAAAGGUGUGUAGAAAGAGGUAGUGUAGAGGGUCUGUGUUAUGAAAGAGAGACCACGUAGUAGAGAGUGUAGAGAGAGGAGGUACAGGAGGUGUGAGUGAGUAGAGAGAAUAGGAAUGAAGGAUGGUAGAUAUAUUUUGGACUUGAUUCCCGGUAAUAAAUCCUUCCGGGAGGCCCAGAGAAAGGGGUCACCCUGAACUAGCCCUAAAAACACCCAAACCCUGAGCCCUUGAAGUCCCUUUGGGUAUCAAGCUGACAAUAAAUGAUCCUCAGAACUGUAUUUGAGCUCAGAUGAAACGGCCAUGUGCUUGUGAUGAACCGGAUGUCAUCAGUGCAGCCCCACAGCUUUGCUGGAGGUCAGUUGAAAGGAAUCCAACCCUGACACAAAGGUUUCAUCGCUUGAGCUUAAGGAAUGUGCUCCUCACACAGAGGAAAUACACAAUGGCCGAGUGUGACUCUGUUCUUUCGGGGUUUCUCCGUCAGCCCUUGAGUAUAAUAGGCCAGAGGAUAGAUGACAACAAGGUGUUUGCGGAUGGUUAACGGGGGCUGACGAUACCGGCCCCAUGGCGGUCUGCACUGGUAACAGGUGUGUCAUUUCACAUCACAUCAUCUGUUUGCUUAUGGAAAAGGCGCCGUUCAAUAGGAUGGUUCGCUAAGCCUGUGAUUUUUAAUCUGUAUAGUGAUGGUCUAUUUUCUGAUCAUCUGCAGCCCCAUUCUGUCUUUUCUAUUAAGCAGUACAGGAGUAGUCAGAGUUUUUAAAAAGCUGCUGGGCUUAUUUUCCUGGAAUAGAUUCCCAUUCCUGGCCCUCUGUAGCUCCAAUACCCAAUAAGGGGUUAGAGUGGACCAGGAGCCUGUCCCAGGAGGCAGAAGGCAGGGGACACCAGACUGUCACAGACACUCUAUGGGCAAUUUGGGGGUGCCAGGACUGCAGGAGAAAUCACCACAUGUUUAUAAGCAAGACAUGCAUAUGACGCAGACGAGAGGUGGGAUUUGAACCCAUAGAGCUGGGAGGGUAUGAGCCAGUCACUGAGCCCCCAAGCUUACUACUCAAAAUCAUCAGCUCAGGCUUUUGUCAAACACACACUUUUGCUGUUGUGAUGCUACAACUGCAGGAUGUGAACUGCCGACCUUGAGGUCAUAGGCACAGAGGCCUAACCCAACGAGUCGCACACCAGCCGGAUGCAAGGCACAAGGAAUGAACAAGUUGUUCAGAACAGAAAAAAACACCUUGGUGUCAAGAAAUAGGAAAGGAGAUUUCCUAAUGAGCUUUAGAGCUGGAAGUCCAGGAGAGAUCUGGUACCAUGCAGAUUUCAGCCAUCGCAUACCGAAUACUGCUCCUCCAUGCCGAACCAUCAAUACAACUUAACGACCAUAGCACUGUCUAUCGCAAGCCAGCUUCUCAUUGGUUACCUCACCGGUGCCCACUCUCUUCCCACUGGUCCAGAGCAGACAUCCAACACACCAUUGGUUUUUCCAUCCUCGUUUCUCUGGCCCCUGCAUCUGGAUGUUUACUUGGACUAAAUCAGGUUAUGUGCUUUUCUCUAGAGGCAUGUUCCCCAAUCUGGGACUGAUAUUCCCAGUAGGAUUUGUUCCUUUAAGUUCCUUAAACACCCACGGUUGGAUCUAAAUCUGCGAAAAUAAUACAGAAGGCCUUAGAAAGGAAGACAUUAUAGGUGUCCCAGUAGAAGGAGAUCUUGGUCACCACCAAUUUUAGACCAAAGUGUCUAAAACCGGAUGCAAGAUUCUCAAAGUGUAAUCCUCAAUCAUAAAUCUGACUUACAUAUCACCCACAAUCAAGGGUGUAUACAGAGGCAGGGCCCUAGGGGCUGAUUGGCCACAGAAGUGCCCUUCCCCUGUCACUCACUGAUUAAAGACAUAUCAUUAGCUAAUCAUAUGGUUGGCCACGCAAUAUGAAUUAUGGCCCCCACGUUAAAAAAUCCUGGACUCCCCUGUAAUAGUAUGUGCAAACCUCUCAAAGUAAACAAAUAUACCAAACAAAAUUAAAGCAAAAAAACAAAAUGCAUUCAUGAUUGAUUGCUGUCUCUAUUUCAGGACGAACCUGUGCCCCUGGGGUCAUUCAUUAAGAGCAAUUUGCAUAAUUAAUGAGCUAAUCUGAACACCACUACCUGAUUGAAGAGGUCUGAGUCUAGGUGGAAAUGCUGAGCUGAAGCCAAAAGAAUUAGCACCAUUUGACAUAAAAAAGUGUCAUGAUUUCCAGCAAAAUAAGUUGAUAUUGACGAUAGCAGUUGGCAUCUACCAUUGUUUAUUCUAUAGGGCAAAUGCUUUGCUUUUGAUUUAUGGCUUAACAUAUUAUUAUACAUAAUAAAACAAAUGAGAAUAGCUUGGACAAAAAUAAUUGGACCCCUAACCUAAUAUUUUGUAUCACACCUUAUUGAAGCAAUAAUUGCCAUCGAGUCAACAGCUCCUUGAGGUGCAGACACCCAUGCCAAUGGAAAUGGACUGAUCUGAAAUGACUGAACAUUUGAAAAUGAGCCCUAAUCUGAUUGGUUCCAAUCUGAAAUGAAAUCUAUCUCUGCAAAUCAGGAACUUGCACGACAAACACAAAUCACACCAAUGAAGACAAUGCAAGUUGAUGAUUAUCAGUGCAGACGCGUGAAACAUCUUUUACAGUUUCUCUGUGUUGUAUGAAUUUCCCUCCACAAUCCAAAGACAUGCAGUGAACCUAACUGGUGAUUCAGUACUGCUGGUUGUGCAGGUAUGGGCCUUUCAUUGGACUGACAUCCCAUGUGGCGUGUCCCUCAGCCGGGUGAUUGGCCCCAAGCUUCCCCAUGACCCUCUCCAGGAUAAGUGGUUAGAAAAAUGGAUUGAUCUUCACAAUUCAGCCAAUUAUGUUAUUCAAGCCCCCCUGUAAAUUGCCUUAACCCAGUGCUCAUCUGUGUGAUUAAUUGAUAUUGAAAGGACAUCACCAUCACUUUGAUACCUGGUAAAAUGAAAUUCCGCAUGGCAUACGAUACAUACAUUCUCUUUUAAUUAGAAAUUCAAUUGAAGAUGUGUAACUUAAUUAUGCUAGCAAGACUUAAUCAUUUUUCUAGUUAUGUUAGGUCAAACGUAAUAAAUCUGUAUCCUUACUUUUUGUCUCUCUUUUUUUAAUUAAAUCUUUUAACCUCCAUGUG
Brienomyrus brachyistius is the source of this 5307-nucleotide long non-coding RNA. RefSeq lists it as uncharacterized. The record is from RefSeq and is a predicted model, not a curated record. The transcript has 2 exons. Lineage: Eukaryota; Metazoa; Chordata; Actinopteri; Osteoglossiformes; Mormyridae.